AGCAAUCGAAGCAGUGAACUUAAGCCCCAGUAAACGGCGGCCGUAACUAUAACGGUCCUAAGGUAGCGAAAUUCCUUGUCGGGUAAGUUCCGACCCGCACGAAAGGCGUAACGAUUUGGGCACUGUCUCAACAACAGACUCGGUGAAAUUGUAAUUCCGGUGAAGAUGCCGGAUACCUGCGACAGGACGGAAAGACCCCAUGGAGCUUUACUGUAGCUUGACAUUGGGUCUUGGUACUACAUGUACAGGAUAGGUGGGAGGCUUUGAAACCAGGACGCCAGUUUUGGCGGAGCCAUCCUUGGGAUACCACCCUUGUAGUACUGGGACUCUAACCAUAGGCCAUGAAUCUGGUCUUGGGACACUGUCAGGUGGGCAGUUUGACUGGGGCGGUCGCCUCCCAAAAGGUAACGGAGGCGCUCAAAGGUUCUCUCAGUACGGUCGGAAAUCGUACGUAGAGUGUAAAGGC
Molecule: ribosomal RNA, 466 nt
Filed under: Clostridioides difficile
Lineage: Bacteria; Bacillati; Bacillota; Clostridia; Peptostreptococcales; Peptostreptococcaceae
Description: bacterial LSU rRNA
Rfam family: Bacterial large subunit ribosomal RNA
Source: RNAcentral